Molecule: ribosomal RNA, 253 nt
Filed under: uncultured bacterium
Lineage: Bacteria
Description: partial 16S ribosomal RNA
Rfam family: Bacterial small subunit ribosomal RNA
Source: RNAcentral
UACGUAGGGUGCAGGCGUUAAUCGGAAUUACUGGGCGUAAAGCGUGCGCAGGCGGUUUGCUAAGACAGGUGUGAAAUCCCCGGGCUUAACCUGGGAACUGCGCUUGUAACUGGCAAGCUUGAGUGUGGCAGAGGGGGGUGGAAUUCUACGUGUAGCAGUGAAAUGCGUAGAGAUGUGGAGGAACACCGAUGGCGAAGGCAGCCCCCUGGGCUAACACUGACGCUCAUGCACGAAAGCGUGGGGAGCAAACAGG